AAAGCGCUAGUAAAAUUGAUUACACUGCCUUGUCAAGGCAAAGUCGUAGGUUAAAACCCUGCGUGCUUUU
Non-coding RNA from Kryptolebias marmoratus (mangrove rivulus), 70 nucleotides. The record is from Ensembl. NCBI's taxonomy places the organism in Eukaryota, Metazoa, Chordata, Actinopteri, Cyprinodontiformes, Rivulidae.